RNAcentral lists this ribosomal RNA (301 nucleotides) under uncultured bacterium. RNAcentral's name for it is "partial 16S ribosomal RNA". It matches the Rfam family "Bacterial small subunit ribosomal RNA", at positions 509 to 808 of the family's 1533-position model. The record is from RNAcentral.
CAGCCGCCGCGGGAAUACGUAGGGUGCAAGCGUUAAUCGGAAUUACUGGGCGUAAAGCGUGCGCAGGCGGUUAUAUAGACAGAUGUGAAAUCCCCGGGCUCAACCUGGGAACUGCAUUUGUGACUGUAUAGCUAGAGUACGGCAGAGGGGGAUGGAAUUCCGCGUGUAGCAGUGAAAUGCGUAGAUAUGCGGAGGAACACCGAUGGCGAAGGCAAUCCCCUGGGCCUGUACUGACGCUCAUGCACGAAAGCGUGGGGAGCAAACAGGAUUAGAUACCCGCGUAGUCCCUGUCUCUUAUACA